RNAcentral lists this ribosomal RNA (236 nucleotides) under uncultured Actinomycetales bacterium. RNAcentral's name for it is "partial 16S ribosomal RNA". It matches the Rfam family "Bacterial small subunit ribosomal RNA", at positions 97 to 334 of the family's 1533-position model. The record is from RNAcentral. Lineage: Bacteria; Bacillati; Actinomycetota; Actinomycetes; Actinomycetales.
GGCGAACGGGUGAGUAACACGUGAGUAACCUGCCCUUGACUUUGGGAUAACUUCAGGAAACUGGGGCUAAUACCGGAUAGGAGCUCCUGCUGCAUGGUGGGGGUUGGAAAGUUUCGGCGGUUGGGGAUGGACUCGCGGCUUAUCAGCUUGUUGGUGGGGUAAUGGCCUACCAAGGCGGCGACGGGUAGCCGGCCUGAGAGGGUGGACGGCCACAUUGGGACUGAGAUACGGCCCAG